ACAUCCCCUUGCCAAACCUCGGCUCACUUCCGCUCUCGCCUCUCUCCUCGUCGGCUCUGUUGCGCAGUCUCGACAGCCCUGCCGUUCUUUCUCCCGUCCACCACCGCGUUUCCCUUGUCAGCUGUCGGCGUUGUGGAUCCGCGAAAAUGGCGUGCAACAUCGGCAUGUUCCUCUACGCCAUCCUGCAGUUCAUCGCGUUCCUCUUCGUGGUGGUGGCUACGCCGAUCGACAUUUUUCUGGAGGUGAUCGAGGGAACUCAGACCGACGGUUGCCUGACUUUGUGGGGUUUUAAAAGGAACUGCAGCAGCACAGCUUACUUGGUAAAGUCAGACGAGCUCUGGGCAAACUGCAUGGGCCGCCGCAACCGCUUCCGUGCAGCACAGGCAUUCGCUGUCAUCUCCAUAUUCGUGUACGGCACGGCGUUCGUCUUGGGCCUCAUUGCGCUGUGCUGCUGCGCCUGCCUCCGCUGGGUCUGCCUGGCGCUCAACGUUGCCGGCAUCGCCACCCUGUGCAUCGUCUGGGCGUCCAUGGUGGUGACCUUCAACAAGGAUGAGGGCGAAGACUGUCCGGCUCUGAACGUCAUCACGAAGAUCGGAGUCGGCUUGAUUCUCUUGGUGGUGGCCUGGUGCCUGGAUAUCAUCAACAUCGCCCUCUUGCUGCUCCCGUGGCAGGAUAGGGACUCUGAUAAGCUCGGAAAGUAGGCGCAGUAGACAAGGCCCUGAGAGGAGGCUGUGAAGUGAAGUGAAGGAAGCGGCCGGCGAGCCUGACAGCAGCGCGGCACACACACCGUGACGCCCUCGUGGAGGAGCCGGCGGAGCUGAUCGCAGCGAGAGAGAGGGAGCGGAUGCCGCUGACCCUCGCCGGCCCACCUCUCUCGCUGCCUUCUCGUGCGUGCGUGUGCGCUUCCUCUGGGGUCGUUCUCCCCCUCCCUCCAAAUGCCGGUGCCGUGCACGGCGACCUGCGCUGUGUGGUGGGCAACGCGCGCCUGGCGCCGACAAGCCCAUCCAUGCCCCGUCCCCCCUCUAAGCCCCUCGCCCUCGCUGCCGUGUCGGAGUCGCCUCCCUGACGCUCGCCCGGCGCUCCGUUGGCGAUGUGAGGGCGCGAAGGAGGGGCGGGUGGCCGAGGUGGGCACGGAGGGCAAAGACAGCGGCGCGGAGAAACGGACGCCCUCGCACGGAGGACGGGAGGCGCCGCGCCACGCCGCAUCGGUCACCCACCCCCGCCCCUUCCACACCCCGUAGUCGCCAUGGCGCGUCUCUCUGGUGUCUCCGCACCACCCCGCGCCCCUGGCGGCACACCCGCGACGGGAAGAGGCACCACAGCGGCACGAAGACGCAGGCCGAGCACGGUCCCCCCCCCUCCUACACACACGCGCACGCAUAUGCUGCCGGUGUUUCCGUUUCUGUUUUCGUGCUUUCGCUUGAUUUGACGCUCGCAUGUUUCCUUCGAUUUCUCCUCGUUUUCGUCUCUCUCCCUAUACAGAGAAGAGUCGCAUGGACGUGUGCGUGUGCGUGCCCCUCUGCCAUUUUCCCGUUGUGUCUCCGUGCCGCUGCCCUGCUCCUCGUCUUCCCCGCCCCCUCCAUGCGCGUGUGCGUGUGCGGGCGAGGCGGCUGAUCGAGGGGACGACGAGGUGGAGAGCAGCCACGGCACCGCAGCGCUGGGGAUACAUGGGCAGUGUGCAGGAGCAGCGGAGGAGAGGCACGCACACGCACUCUGGCAAGGGAGUAGUGGUGCGGAGGCCGCAGGGGAAUACGCAGCGGAGCGAGUGGGUACGGAGGCGGAGCGGAGGAGAGGCAGCGCUGCUUCUCUGUUCGCCCCGCUUGCGUUGGACUCGAGUGUGUCUGCGUGUGCGCCCCCUGCGGCCCUGGGCCCCCUCGCCUCUCUUGCGCGCUUCGCGUCGCUUGUUUCGUUGCUGUGGCUGUCUAACUACGCCAUCGAGUCGGCCAGAGUCGCGUGCGCGGAGUAUUCACACCAUAUUACGGCAUGCGGCAUGCACCUACACCAGCCCCUGCGGCCUGCACGGCAGACGCCGCCGCCUCCGCCCUCGAGCAGGACCCUGCACCGGGGUCCGUGUGGCGCCGGUCGCGCUGCACGCGUGCGAGGGCGAUACGCGGAGGGACAAGGCGAGCCCGCUAGCAGCAUGGCCCGACUCGACGGCUGAACGGCUCGUCGUGGACGGCGCGGAUGUGGCCGCCGUGCGACAGGGGUGGGUGGGCUGCGGCUGUAUGCGUACACGUGUCGACUGGGGCGUGGUGUAACGGCAAGCAGGGACGAAUUUGUAUACAUUAAGCUGCUCUAACAAGCAAGUGACAGGGGAUGAAAUACUCAUGAGCACUUUGGAGGAAGGAAGCCGCGCUCGUGGUUUGCAGAAAACCCCCCGGACUUUGUUUUCCCCGCCGACCGCCGCCCCCGUGUGCUCGCCCGAGCGGACGGAGCGCGUGCGCGUGCGCCCUUUUCUCCUCGUGCUUCUCCAUUGCUUGUUUUUUGCUUUCUGUCUUUUGUUGUUGUCUCCGUUCCUCGACUG
Molecule: unclassified non-coding RNA, 2524 nt
Filed under: Leishmania donovani
Lineage: Eukaryota; Euglenozoa; Kinetoplastea; Trypanosomatida; Trypanosomatidae
Description: gene:LdHU3.34.0850(CDS-product:Amastin_surface_gl ycoprotein_putative)
Source: RNAcentral